UACGUAGGGGGCAAGCGUUGUCCGGAUUUAUUGGGCGUAAAGGGCGCGUAGGCGGCCAACUAAGUCACACGUGAAAUCCCCAGGCUUAACCUGGGAACUGCGUGUGAUACUGGAUGGCUUGAAUUCGGGAGAGGGAUGCAGAAUUCCAGGUGUAGCGGUGAAAUGCGUAGAUAUCUGGAGGAAUACCGGUGGCGAAGGCGGCAUCCUGGACCGACAUUGACGCUGAGGCGCGAAAGCUAGGGGAGCAAACGGG
This 253-nucleotide ribosomal RNA is filed under the name uncultured bacterium. Its description in RNAcentral is "partial 16S ribosomal RNA". It matches the Rfam family "Bacterial small subunit ribosomal RNA", at positions 524 to 776 of the family's 1533-position model. The record is from RNAcentral.